Molecule: long non-coding RNA, 1024 nt
Organism: Myripristis murdjan (pinecone soldierfish)
Lineage: Eukaryota; Metazoa; Chordata; Actinopteri; Holocentriformes; Holocentridae
Exons: 2
Source: RefSeq, a predicted model, not a curated record
AUUUUUUUUUUUUUGGAGCCUAAUGAUGGCCUCCUUUACCUGCAUGGACACCUCUUUGGAUCGCAUGUUGAGGGUUUUGAUAAACAGUGACCAAACCUUUUAUUUUUUCUUAAUUUGUCAUAGAAUAACAAGGGAAAAGGUCCCACCUGGCCAUGAAACUGCUUUCUAGUCAAGUGUCCAGUUACUUUUGAGUCUGUGAAAAUGGGGUGAUAAUGUAUAAAACCGGCUGCAAUUCCUAAAAGGUUAAUGCCAUAUUUUUGUUCAACCCAUUAAAUUAGAGCUGAAAGUCUGCACAAAUCCACUGUGGUGGUGUACAAGGGCAAAACUGUGAACAUAGUGUCACUGUCCAAGUACUUGUGGACCUAACGGUACUUUCCUCCCCUUAUAAUCUGUAUUAUGGGCUCCCCCACCGCCUAACUCCAGCCAGGCUGUUUGCACUAACCACCGAUCCAUCCACCCAUCCACAGACAGUCACAGCUCAAGUCUGACACAGCCCUAAAGUUUAUUUUAUUCAUGUCAUUAAAGUUACACGGCGGAAUCAGAGACACAAAAAAGAGGUUAGAGAGAAAAACAGCAACCAUUCCACAUCAAAUGGCAGAAUGUGUCCAUGGAUCUGUCUGCUCAUGCUGAUAAUGCAUACUACUUACUAAAUGUGCGGUAGAAAUAUACAGAGAACCUACUGUUUAGUAUGCAGUAGGACUACACAUACUAAAUCCUUAAUGCUACUCAGCAGGAGUGCAUAUACAGUCUUUUUGGUGUAUUCCCACUACAUACAUUAUCUAAUCUAUUGAUGAUGCAACUGCAAAAUCUGCUUAUUCUGGAAUGAAACUUCAAGCUAUUCUCAGCUAGAGGUGAAGUUCAGGUGCCGACUGGAUAGUAUGCAGUAAUAGCUGGCAGACAGAGCCCUGGUGUUAGUAAUAAACCAGCAGAGGGCCAGCAUAAACGGAGCAUGGUUUGUGUAUGUAUCUCUGUAUGUAGCCCUUGCCAUGCGUUGAUAAUAAAAAAUCAGACUGCACUUCGUAAA